This 253-nucleotide ribosomal RNA is filed under the name uncultured bacterium. RNAcentral describes it as "partial 16S ribosomal RNA". It matches the Rfam family "Bacterial small subunit ribosomal RNA", at positions 524 to 776 of the family's 1533-position model. The record is from RNAcentral.
UACGUAGGUGGCAAGCGUUGUCCGGAAUUAUUGGGCGUAAAGCGCGCGCAGGCGGUCCUUUAAGUCUGAUGUGAAAGCCCACGGCUCAACCGUGGAGGGUCAUUGGAAACUGGGGGACUUGAGUGCAGAAGAGGAAAGCGGAAUUCCACGUGUAGCGGUGAAAUGCGUAGAGAUGUGGAGGAACACCAGUGGCGAAGGCGGCUUCCUGGCCUGUUCUUGACGCUGAGGCGCGAAAGCUAGGGGAGCAAACGGG